UACGUAGGGUGCAAGCGUUGUCCGGAAUUAUUGGGCGUAAAGAGCUCGUAGGCGGUUUGUCGCGUCUGCUGUGAAAACCCGAGGCUCAACCUCGGGCCUGCAGUGGGUACGGGCAGACUAGAGUGCGGUAGGGGAGAUUGGAAUUCCUGGUGUAGCGGUGAAAUGCGCAGAUAUCAGGAAGAACACCCGUGGCGAAGGCGGUUCUCUGGGACGGUACUGACGCUGAGACGCGAAAGCGUGGGGAGCGAACAGG
Molecule: ribosomal RNA, 253 nt
Filed under: uncultured bacterium
Lineage: Bacteria
Description: partial 16S ribosomal RNA
Rfam family: Bacterial small subunit ribosomal RNA
Source: RNAcentral